UCCUCGACGUGCUGGACGGCGCGCCCGGCGACCUUGCUGACGGCGGCGGCGGGUUCGACUCCUGCGCCGGCGACCC
RNAcentral lists this transfer RNA (76 nucleotides) under Paractinoplanes rishiriensis. RNAcentral describes it as "Actinoplanes rishiriensis tRNA-Ser". The record is from RNAcentral. Lineage: Bacteria; Bacillati; Actinomycetota; Actinomycetes; Micromonosporales; Micromonosporaceae.